GACGAACGCUGGCGGCGUGCUUAACACAUGCAAGUCGAACGGAAAGGCCCUGCUUUUGUGGGGUGCUCGAGUGGCGAACGGGUGAGUAACACGUGAGUAACCUGCCCUUGACUUUGGGAUAACUUCAGGAAACUGGGGCUAAUACCGGAUAGGAGCUCCUGCUGCAUGGUGGGGGUUGGAAAGUUUCGGCGGUUGGGGAUGGACUCGCGGCUUAUCAGCUUGUUGGUGAGGUAGUGGCUUACCAAGGCUUUGACGGGUAGCCGGCCUGAGAGGGUGACCGGCCACAUUGGGCCUGAGAUACGGCCCAGACUCCUACGGGAGGCAGCAGUGGGGAAUAUUGCACAAUGGGCGGAAGCCUGAUGCAGCAACGCCGCGUGCGGGAUGACGGCCUUCGGGUUGUAAACCGCUUUCGCCUGUGACGAAGCGUGAGUGACGGUAAUGGGUAAAGAAGCACCGGCUAACUACGUG
This 468-nucleotide ribosomal RNA is filed under the name uncultured bacterium. Its description in RNAcentral is "partial 16S ribosomal RNA". It matches the Rfam family "Bacterial small subunit ribosomal RNA", at positions 28 to 507 of the family's 1533-position model. The record is from RNAcentral.